AUUGAACGCUGGCGGCAGGCCUAACACAUGCAAGUCGAACGGUAACAGGAAGAAGCUUGCUUCUUUGCUGACGAGUGGCGGACGGGUGAGUAAUGUCUGGGAAACUGCCUGAUGGAGGGGGAUAACUACUGGAAACGGUAGCUAAUACCGCAUAACGUCGCAAGACCAAAGAGGGGGACCUUCGGGCCUCUUGCCAUCGGAUGUGCCCAGAUGGGAUUAGCUAGUAGGUGGGGUAACGGCUCACCUAGGCGACGAUCCCUAGCUGGUCUGAGAGGAUGACCAGCCACACUGGAACUGAGACACGGUCCAGACUCCUACGGGAGGCGGCAGUGGGGAAUAUUGCACAAUGGGCGCAAGCCUGAUGCAGCCAUGCCGCGUGUAUGAAGAAGGCCUUCGGGUUGUAAAGUACUUUCAGCGGGGAGGAAGGGAGCAAAGUUAAUACCUUUGCUCAUUGACGUUACCCGCAGAAGAAGCACCGGCUAACUCCGUG
Molecule: ribosomal RNA, 490 nt
Filed under: uncultured bacterium
Lineage: Bacteria
Description: partial 16S ribosomal RNA
Rfam family: Bacterial small subunit ribosomal RNA
Source: RNAcentral